UUCAACCUGGGGUGUACGACAACCUACUAUUUUGAACCUACAACAUAAGAUCGGGAGACUGAUUUCGCAGCUAAUGAUGUCAGGCCACAACUUAAUUCCCUUUGGGCAGUGGAAGACAAAGUUAUCUGGAAGGUCACCCACCUAGCAAUGGCUAGGGCGUCAAAAUUGUGGGACCGGCAUUUUGGGAUAUCA
This 192-nucleotide non-coding RNA is filed under the name Lachnospiraceae bacterium. Its description in RNAcentral is "6S RNA". It matches the Rfam family "6S / SsrS RNA". From Rfam's summary of the family: E. coli 6S RNA was the first non coding RNA to be sequenced, but its function was unknown until recently. It consists of 184 nucleotides that fold into an extended hairpin structure with a large single-stranded internal bulge. The 6S RNA specifically associates with RNA polymerase holoenzyme containing the sigma70 specificity factor. Lineage: Bacteria; Bacillati; Bacillota; Clostridia; Lachnospirales; Lachnospiraceae. The record is from RNAcentral.